RNAcentral lists this ribosomal RNA (358 nucleotides) under marine sediment bacterium BB0608_AND_7.1_1S10. RNAcentral's name for it is "bacterial SSU rRNA". It matches the Rfam family "Bacterial small subunit ribosomal RNA", at positions 77 to 440 of the family's 1533-position model. The record is from RNAcentral.
CUUGCUGGUAGGCGUCGAGCGGCGGACGGGUGAGUAAUACUUAGGAAUCUACCUAGUAGUGGGGGAUAGCUCGGGGAAACUCGAAUUAAUACCGCAUACGACCUACGGGAGAAAGGGGGCAGUUUACUGCUCUCGCUAUUAGAUGAGCCUAAGUCGGAUUAGCUAGAUGGUGGGGUAAAGGCCUACCAUGGCGACGAUCUGUAGCUGGUCUGAGAGGAUGAUCAGCCACACCGGGACUGAGACACGGCCCGGACUCCUACGGGAGGCAGCAGUGGGGAAUAUUGGACAAUGGGGGAAACCCUGAUCCAGCCAUGCCGCGUGUGUGAAGAAGGCCUUUUGGUUGUAAAGCACUUUAAGC